RNAcentral lists this transfer RNA (72 nucleotides) under Cervus nippon centralis (Hondo sika deer). Its description in RNAcentral is "tRNA-Thr". The record is from RNAcentral. Lineage: Eukaryota; Metazoa; Chordata; Mammalia; Artiodactyla; Cervidae.
AGUCUUUGUAGUAUACUCAAUACACUGGUCUUGUAAACCAGAAAAGGAGAAUUACCAACCUCCCUAAGACUC